GGCCGGAGCGAUGGGCGGCAUCGCGCGAGGACCUGGUGGCGCUGCCAAGGCCCACUCGCCGCUGCACGCGUGUGGCUUUUGCUAGUGCGCGGUGGCUCCGCAUCUCCGGCAACGGCUUGCUUUCCCGCUCCGGCUUGGUUGCGGGCCCUCAUCCCCGAGUGGGAUGGGAGGGAUCAAGGCAACAGGGCAGGGUGGGAGGAUGUGAGUGCACGCAGUAGGGCCCAGCGACAACAUAGCAUGGUGUGGCCGAGAUGAGUGCUUCACGCUCAAGGGUGGUCGCGGCGGCUCCAUGCGACGGCGACAUCUCCAGCAUGCCUCAGGGAGGAAGUUGGCUUGAAGUUGUGGGCUCCGGCUGCCGGCGGCGAGGAAGAAUGGGAGGUGCUUACAAUGACUCAAAUUUAAUUUCACUUUCUUUCAGGGAUGUCUUUGUAAGUUAUGGGCUGAAGUAAUCACCAAAAUAUGAAUGAAAUAUAAAUCCGGUUUCUAAAAA
Panicum hallii is the source of this 490-nucleotide long non-coding RNA. RefSeq lists it as uncharacterized. Lineage: Eukaryota; Viridiplantae; Streptophyta; Magnoliopsida; Poales; Poaceae. The record is from RefSeq and is a predicted model, not a curated record. The transcript is spliced from 2 exons.